UGGGGAAUCUUGGACAAUGGGGGCAACCCUGAUCCAGCCAUGCCGCGUGAGUGAUGAAGGCCUUAGGGUCGUAAAGCUCUUUCGCCUGUGAAGAUAAUGACGGUAGCAGGUAAAGAAACCCCGGCUAACUCCGUGCCAGCAGCCGCGGUAAUACGGAGGGGGUUAGCGUUGUUCGGAAUUACUGGGCGUAAAGCGCACGUAGGCGGACCAGAAAGUUGGGGGUGAAAUCCCGGGGGCUCAACCCCGGAACUGCCUCCAAAACUAUUGGUCUAGAGUUCGAGAGAGGUGAGUGGAAUUCCAAGUGUAGAGGUGAAAUUCGUAGAUAUUUGGAGGAACACCAGUGGCGAAGGCGGCUCACUGGCUCGAUACUGACGCUGAGGUGCGAAAGUGUGGGGAGCAAACAGGAUUAGAUACCCUGGUAGUCCACACCGUAAAACGAUGAAUGCCAGUCGUCGGGUAGCAUGCUAUUCGGUGACACACCUAACGGAUUAAGCAUUCCGGCCUGGGGAGUACGGUCGCAAGAUUAAAACUC
RNAcentral lists this ribosomal RNA (532 nucleotides) under uncultured bacterium. Its description in RNAcentral is "bacterial SSU rRNA". It matches the Rfam family "Bacterial small subunit ribosomal RNA", at positions 355 to 902 of the family's 1533-position model. The record is from RNAcentral.